CUUUGAGAGAACUAUACUGAAGGAACUCGGCAAAUUGCAUGCGUAACUUCGGGAUAAGCAUGACUUCUAUCGGGGCAACCCUUUAGGAGUGGCACAAAAGAGGGGGUGGCGACUGUUUACUAAAAACACAGGGCUCUGCGAAGUUGCAAAACGACGUAUAGGGUCUGACGCCUGCCCGGUGCCGGAAGGUUAAAAGGAGAGGUGCAAGCUUUGAAUUGAAGCCCCGGUAAACGGCGGCCGUAACGAUAACGGUCCUAAGGUAGCGAAAUUCCUUGUCGGGUAAGUUCCGACCUGCACGAAUGGCGUAACGACUUCCCCACUGUCUCCAGUAUAGACUCAGCGAAAUUGAAUUCCCCGUGAAGAUGCGGGGUUCCUGCGGUCAGACGGAAAGACCCCAUGCACCUUUACUAUAGCUUUACGCUGGCAUUUGUGUCGGCAUGUGCAGGAUAGGUGGUAGGCUUUGAAGCCGGGACGCUAGUUUCGGUGGAGCCAAAAGAUGAGAUACCACCCUUAUCGUCAUAGAUGUCUAACCGCGGCAUAACAGUGUCCGGGACAGCGUAUGGUGGGUAGUUUGACUGGGGCGGUCGCCUCCCAAAGAGUAACGGAGGCGCGCGAUGGUGGGCUCAGAACGGUCGGAAAUCGUUCGACGAGUGCAAUGGCAUAAGCCUGCCUGACUGCGAGACCGACAGGUCGAGCAGAGACGAAAGUCGGUCAUAGUGAUCCGGUGGUCCCGCGUGGAAGGGCCAUCGCUCAACGAAUAAAAGGUACGCUGGGGAUAACAGGCUGAUGAUGCCCAAGAGUCCAUAUCGACGGCAUCGUUUGGCACCUCGAUGUCGGCUCAUCACAUCCUGGGGCUGGAGCAGGUCCCAAGGGUAUGGCUGUUCGCCAUUUAAAGUGGUACGUGAGCUGGGUUUAGAACGUCGUGAGACAGUUCGGUCCCUAUCUGCCGUGGGUGUAGGAAUAUUGAGAAGAGCUGACCCUAGUACGAGAGGACCGGGUUGGACGAAUCUCUGGUGGACCUGUUGUGGCGCCAGCCGCAUUGCAGGGUAGCUAAAUUCGGACGGGAUAACUGCUGAAAGCAUCUAAGCAGGAAGCCUCCUUCAAAACUAGUAUUCCCUUGAGAGCCGUGGAAGACCACCACGUCGAUAGGCCGGGUGUGGAAGCGUAGCAAUAUGUGAAGCUUACCGGUACUAAUAGCUU
Molecule: ribosomal RNA, 1200 nt
Filed under: metagenome
Description: bacterial LSU rRNA
Rfam family: Bacterial large subunit ribosomal RNA
Source: RNAcentral